UUCAGGCUUGCCAGUUCCUCCUUCAAGAUCUCCAUCAGAGCUAAUGGACAACACGUUUUGUCCCUGAGGAGAAGGAUCCAGGCUGUUCACAUCAGUGCAGGACAGGAAGAUGAGAAACAGCAGAUUCUUUCCCCCAUCCCACUGGGGGUAAGUGAGCAAGUGCCUGUGUGGUGCUCAUUUGACAGCCAGGGUUAAAACGCAACAACUGAAUAGAAGUUUUCCCUCCAUGAGGACACCCAAGCAGAAGCCCAGGCUGCCCAGAGAGUAUUACAGGCAGAGAGAAAGAAUUGCAGCAUGGCUGCCUGAGGGAGGAUGAAAGAGCAUGUCCCUCACACUGGGAUGGAAAAACCCUUCUGUUGGGUCUGCGUGUCACCGAAAGGACUGAAUAGAUGGACAGUGAAGAUAGGCACCAGUAACUCAGAAAAGUAUGAGCUUUCACGCAGUAAGUUUUAAAUGUAGCUAGGUGCCCGGCGCUGGCAACACUUUCGAUUUCUUCUUGCUAAUUCGCGCUUGAUGCCCCUGCUCAUUCCCACGCGGCUUCUCCCGCAGGCAGAGCUUUACUGUGGGCGCCAGGGAGCGCAGGACCAGGGGUUGCUCCCCGGUCUCCACCACGAGAGGUCCCCCCAGUCCCGCAAGCCGCGGCUCCUCUGGGCUGUUGAGCGAGCCGCUCAGUCAGACUCGGGUGCCUAAAAUUGACCUUGAAAUUAACUGUGAGACAUGAUUUAUUAUCUCACCUCACUGAAUGCAUUCUCAGAAUGAAUGCAGAAAGCGGAGUCUGCUCGUAGCCUGUCCACCAAAGUGUGCAGUUGUGUUUGGAGUUUUUUUCCAUGAGAAAAUACUUACAAUAACAGUAUUGCAAAUUCCUGUCUCGUUGCCUCAUCUUUGUGGUUAUAUAUCCCUGUGUUUCAAAGACUGAAAUUGUUCUUUUAAUAGACUGCAAGUUGAACAUAACAGAGGUAGAAGUAGAAAAAAUGGCAUUGACCAAAUGCUCGGGGUAACUCAGAAAAAAAUAUCCCAUCUCUGAUGAGACCUCAAAUAAACCCAGUUACUAUCACUUCCCUCCAAAGAUACUUUUAAAAUUGUAAUGGAAGUCAAAUGUAUUGAUGCCGGUGGGGACCCAGAGUGAACAGAUGUGACUCUUUUCACACAGUGUUUGCCAUAUCACUAAAGCAUAUUCUGAGCUGUGUUUUGGUAGUCAUAGAGAUGACUUCAGGCAUGGGUGUGCUCCUGCCAAAUUGUUAGCAUGAAUCAUGAUUCAUGGUAGUGAAAGCGACACAUAUCUGUGCAAUAUUCAUCCACAUGAAAGGCCAGCGCAGGCAAUAGCGUAUUAGCAAAACCUAGUGUUAGUUUUGUCAAUGCUGCAUCUAAGUGGUUGUCACACAUCUUUUUUUAAAACAAUUUAAAAGUCAUAUAGGAGGCCAACUUGUUGCAAAUUAAUCACCACUGCAGAAGGGAAUGGCGAGGGACAGGUUGGCCUAGUUUUACAGUUAGAAAGAACCAGGGGCUAAAUUUGGUAGGACUGUGCCCUAGCCUUAAUCUAACAAAGCAUGCAUUUAAUUUUAAGUUCAUAAGCUAUUCACUGACAUCAGUAUGGUUAUUCGCAUGUUUGAAAUUAAGCACUUGUAAAAAUGCCAUGGAGGAUUGGACCUCUCCCUUCAGUGCUCCCAGAGUGUUCACACAAUAGUGCCCUUUGUAGUGUCUGAAAAUCUGGUUCCUCCACUUCCUUUGCCUGCAGUGAUACUGCAUAAUAUGAGAAGCAGGUCUUUUUGGGCCCAGUCCUGCUGUGAACUCCACUUAGGCAGAUGUGAAAGCCAUAAAGAGUCUUUCUCUUUAGCCCAAGCCUCUUAAACGCUGUCUGCACCAAGUGCAGUGAUGAAUCCAGGUGCCUGUUGCCCUCUCUCCCCGUCAAGCUGAGUCUCACAGUGGCAAAACUAUUUCAGCCUGGUGAUUCAAGAUCACUGCUGCAUCAGGGGAACAGCUUAGCUUCAUAAAACUUACACAGUGCCUUGUCAUGACAAAAUACAGUUUAUUUACAGCCUCCAAAAUUCUGUGAAUUCUGAUUAGAACACUGAAAGAACACAGUUCAGUAGACUUAAAUGUUUGUUUUCUUAAGCUUCCUAAAAAUCUUGCUUCAUUCCCAGACAGAAAAUGUUCUGUAAGUAUAUAGUAUCGUUAGCAAGUGAAACUGCUAAAUUAGCCUGAAUGUGAAUAUUGAUGCUUCAGUAACAUACCUCAGUGAUGUACUGCAAUACACAAAGCAGGGUGCAUGUAUUUGCAUGCAGCUAAUCAUAAAUGCAUAUGCUUUAACACUAGAUGACCUGGGGGGAAAUGAGGUAACCUUGUAAGUGGCUGAUUAGAAAGGAAAAAUGUUAUCCUGUCAUUAACAACUACUGAAGAGGGGAAUAAAUUUCCAGACCAAAGACAUGAACUAAAAGAAUUUGAGUUACUUUCUGAUGCUAGGUAUAUCAGGCAUUUGGACAGUGGCCAUCAUUACAAAACUACUGUGUAGUGAGCCAGGACUCAUGUUCAUUGUGUAACUGUCACCACGAAGGAGUGAGUGAGGAGUGCCCUUCCCAAAAGGCACUAAUACAACAGUUUGCAUGGGCUCAUGUUGGAAAUCAGUCAUGCAGUAAGUUACAAG
Long non-coding RNA from Pezoporus occidentalis (night parrot), 2641 nucleotides. RefSeq lists it as uncharacterized. The transcript has 4 exons. The record is from RefSeq and is a predicted model, not a curated record. Lineage: Eukaryota; Metazoa; Chordata; Aves; Psittaciformes; Psittacidae.